This 395-nucleotide ribosomal RNA is filed under the name uncultured bacterium. RNAcentral's name for it is "bacterial SSU rRNA". It matches the Rfam family "Bacterial small subunit ribosomal RNA", at positions 505 to 898 of the family's 1533-position model. The record is from RNAcentral.
GUGUCAGCAGCCGCGGUAAUACGUAGGUGUCGAGCGUUGUCCGGAUUUAUUGGGCGUAAAGAGCCCGCAGGCGGCUUGGUAAGUUCGAGGUGAAAUCUCCCGGCUCAACUGGGAGGGUGCCUCGAAAACUAUCAGGCUUGAGGCAGGGAGAGGGAUGUGGAAUUCCCGGUGUAGUGGUGAAAUGCGUAGAUAUCGGGAGGAACACCAGUGGCGAAGGCGGCAUCCUGGCCCUGUCCUGACGCUCAGGGGCGAAAGCGUGGGGAGCAAACCGGAUUAGAUACCCGGGUAGUCCACGCCGUAAACGAUGAGUACUAGGUGUUGGGGGUAUCGACCCCCUCAGUGCCGAAGCUAACGCGAUAAGUACUCCGCCUGGGGACUACGGCCGCAAGGCUAAA